RNAcentral lists this ribosomal RNA (404 nucleotides) under Hypsiboas aff. semilineatus AF-2016. Its description in RNAcentral is "partial 16S ribosomal RNA". It matches the Rfam family "Bacterial large subunit ribosomal RNA", at positions 1813 to 2376 of the family's 2925-position model. Lineage: Eukaryota; Metazoa; Chordata; Amphibia; Anura; Hylidae. The record is from RNAcentral.
ACAUCGCCUCUUGAACUAAAUAAGAGGUCCAGCCUGCCCAGUGAAAUUAUUCAACGGCCGCGGUAUCCUAACCGUGCGAAGGUAGCGUAAUCACUUGUUCUUUAAAUGAGGACUAGUAUGAAUGGCACCACGAGGGUUCUACUGUCUCCUUUUUUAAAUCAGUGAAACUAAUCUUCCCGUGAAGAAGCGGGAAUUUUUUUAUAAGACGAGAAGACCCUAUGGAGCUUUAAACAAAUGACAUUUGCUUAAUCUAAUAUUUUAUUUUCAAGAAAUAUAGCAUUAUGAUCUUUAGUUUUCGAUUGGGGUGAUCACGGAGAAAAAUUUAACCUCCACGCCGAAAGGGUUUAUUCCCUAAGCAAAAAGCUACAGCUUUAAGCACUAAAAAAUUAACGUAGUUUGACCCA